AACGAACGUUGGCGGCGUGCUUAACACAUGCAAGUCGAACGAGAAAGUUUCCUUCGGGGAACGAGUAAAGUGGCGCACGGGUGAGUAACGCGUAAGUAAUCUACCUUGGCAUUUGGAAUAACUACGGGAAGCUGUAGCUAAUACCGGAUACGUUCUCCUUUCUGCGGAUUGGAGAAGAAAGAUGACCUCUUCUUGAAAGUUAUCGUGCUAAGAGGAGCUUGCGUACCAUUAGCUAGUUGGUAGGGUAAUGGCCUACCAAGGCAACGAUGGUUAGCGGGUCUGAGAGGAUGAUCCGCCACACUGGAACUGGAACACGGACCAGACUCCUACGGGAGGCAGCAGUGAGGAAUAUUGCGCAAUGGGGGAAACCCUGACGCAGCGACGCCGCGUGGAUGAUGAAGGCCUUAGGGUCGUAAAAUCCUGUCAGAUGGGAAGAAAUGUACGAGGGAAUAAUACCCCUUGUGCUUGACGGUACCAUCAAAGGAAGCACCGGCUAACUCCGUGCCAGCAGCCGCGGUAAUACGGAGGGUGCAAACGUUGUUCGGAAUUACUGGGCGUAAAGCGCGCGUAGGCGGUUUGUCAAGUCAGAUGUGAAAGCCCAAGGCUUAACCUUGGACGUGCAUUUGAAACUGGCAGACUUGAGUACUGGAGGGGAUGGUGGAAUUCCCGGUGUAGAGGUGAAAUUCGUAGAUAUCGGGAGGAAUACCGGUGGCGAAGGCGACCAUCUGGCCAGAUACUGACGCUGAGGUGCGAAAGCGUGGGGGAGCAAACAGGAUUAGAUACCCUGGCAGUCCACGCCGUAAACGAUGUCAACUAGGUGUUGGGGCGGUUAAUCGUCUCAUUGCCGGAGCU
This 852-nucleotide ribosomal RNA is filed under the name uncultured delta proteobacterium. RNAcentral describes it as "bacterial SSU rRNA". It matches the Rfam family "Bacterial small subunit ribosomal RNA", at positions 28 to 853 of the family's 1533-position model. The record is from RNAcentral. Lineage: Bacteria; Deltaproteobacteria.